This 468-nucleotide ribosomal RNA is filed under the name uncultured bacterium. RNAcentral's name for it is "partial 16S ribosomal RNA". It matches the Rfam family "Bacterial small subunit ribosomal RNA", at positions 28 to 507 of the family's 1533-position model. The record is from RNAcentral.
GACGAACGCUGGCGGCGUGCUUAACACAUGCAAGUCGAACGGAAAGGCGCUGCUUUUGUGGUGUGCUCGAGUGGCGAACGGGUGAGUAACACGUGAGUAACCUGCCCUUGACUUUGGGAUAAUUUCAGGUAACUGGGGCUACUACCGGAUAGGAGCUCCUGCUGCAUGGUGGGGGUUGGAAAGUUUCGGCGGUUGGGGAUGGACUCGCGGCUUAUCAGCUUGUUGGUGGGGUAGUGGCUUACCAAUGCUUUGACGGAUCGCCGGCCUGAGAGGGUGACCGGCCACAUUGGGACUGCGAGACGGCCCAGACUGCUACGGGAGGCAGCAGUGGGGAAUAUGGCACAAUGGGCGGAAGUCUGAUGCAGCAACGCCGCGUGCGGGAAGACGGUCUUCGGGUUGUAAACCGCUUUCGCCUGUGACGAAGCGUGAGUGACGGUAAUGGGUAAAGAAGCACCGGCUAACUACGUG